UAUACACUUACAUUUAUUCUGUAUGUUUUAAAACUUUUUUUCACAUAAUGGGAGCAUUCAUAAUACGCACACACACACAUACACACACAGUCUUUGGGAAAUCACUAAGCAUCUAUAGAUUGCAGAAGUCAAAUUAUAUGAGAAAAAGUGAUUAAUGAGUUCAGCAUAUACAUGAAAUCUUUCUGCCCCCUGACCUUCCAAAGUCCCUCCAGAAGCAAACAAACAAAUUGGAAAACUCUAAUCUGAAUCUCUAAAAAAGCCCAAACAUUUUAUGAAUAUUUUAGCAUAAAUAAAUAUUUUAAUACACUCUGCUGCUCAAUUUAUAGCAAUAGCAUGGAGAAACAAGAAGAGAAGAAUCUAUAUUUCACAGAGCAGAAAUAAAGAUCUAGGAUACUAGGUGGAAAGAUGGAAAACUGCUCAGCUGAGAUAGGAUGAAUUAGAUAAUGACAUAGAUAUUUACACAAUUUUAUUUCCAAUUAAGUAUAAUAGUGACAUAUUACAAAAUGUGCCCCAAACAGCAGGCUUUUUUCAGAGCACCAGGUGGUAAGGUACAUCUCAUUUUUGAUUAGAUCCCCAAGCCCCAUCUCCGUGUAGUCCAAGUUUUGCUGUGUGACGGACUAGAUGAGGUAAGACAAUACAAUCUGUGGGUGUUAAAUCUGUAACAACAGCCAGGCUGUGUUCCACAAGAUUCCAGCUCUGCCUUCAACACCUUAGGAGACCGGCGCUAUUUCUCCUUCCUUCUCUUUCCUUCUGCCUCUUCCUCCCUGCACAGUCUUGGCUCUUGUUCCCAUUCAGUGUCACUCUCCCUGAGAAUUGAAUUCUUCCAAUUUUCUAACCAAGAGCGACUCCCUUUCAUCUCCACCUAAGUUCUCCCCUUCCAUCACACCUGGAGAGAGGACUUGAAAUCUAACGGAAACACGAAAGGAUGAAUGAUAUUACUGUUAAACCUCUUCAAAUUCAAACGAGGAUGCCCCUUUCGGUGGAAUAAGACAGUUAAUAAAAGAGCCUCCUCCAAAGCUGUUAUAAUCCUCCAGACGUCUAACAGAAUGAAUUUAACAUAAGGUGUUAAUAAAAGGUCUACGACUCUCAAAAACAUUUUUUCAACUUUAUCAGAAAGGGAAAAUACCCAAUUGUUUGGCUUAAGCAUGAGAGAUAGCUAUAUAUAUGUAUAUAGAUAAAUGCAGAUAAAUACACAUAAGCCUUUAAUUAGCGUUUAAAAAAUAAACUUAGAGGUUAAAGAGAAAGUUCAUGGGAUGAGGGCAGGGGAGCCUCUAUCUGCCCUGCUUUCACACCCUUCCUUUAGAGCUGGCAUUGCUGGGAUAUCAGCUCAGCGCCUUCUCCUACAGCGGAGACUGAACCCAUGCAAGUCACGAGGACACACACGACUCCACCACUGCUGCUUCAUCUUUCCGGUCUAGUGUCCCGUGCCCAGGAGUGGAAGGAAUUUCUGCAAGGUUUUGAGCCUCACGCGUCGCAUCCACAGCCCCAAACCGAAACCUCACCAUUCUAGCCAAAGUGGGCAUUUUUAGUGAUGUGUGGCCUCACCACUUAAAUCCAGUUUAUUGAAUCUGAAGUGAUUUGCUCCUCUUUCUGGACUACACAAUAAACACCCUCCAACGUCCCCAGCCAUGCUCUUCCCAUCAUUUGGCUGAAAGGGGAGGAAUUCAAGGCCUUAGAGUGGGGAAGCUACAAUUUGGAAGAAUCCUGGAAGCACAGAUUACCCUGUGAAGCAGCAUCCCCAUGAGGGUCUCUUUCUUCUGUGAUAUAAGCAAGAAAUAAAUGAAUUGUGC
This 1790-nucleotide long non-coding RNA is filed under the name Homo sapiens (human). RNAcentral's name for it is "HSALNT0319968". Lineage: Eukaryota; Metazoa; Chordata; Mammalia; Primates; Hominidae. The record is from RNAcentral.